CUGGCGCAAAAUCAUCAGCUUGAAGCUCAGCGCAUCCCACAGGAGUCAUGGAGAAGUCUAAGGCUGAAAUCUUCCUGAAUAAACACAGAUGCAUCAUUAUAGAAAAUGCACCAUGACCCAGUCUACAGCUGAAAACUUUCUGAGAGAGAAUAGGACCACUAUUGUAAACGGUGUGACAAAAGAACAGUGUGACAGUUUGGUUGAUUUUCUUCUUGAAAAAGGCCUUUUUUUUGAUGAAUCUGGAAGUGAAAUUCGCACCCUGAAUACCAGUCAGAAGAAAAUGCGCAAGCUUCUGGAAUCUGUAAAAACAAAGAAGGCAAAUGAACUGGUGUUGCAGUGGCUGAGGGAGAAGCUGCCUGAUCUGAUUGAUGAUUUGGAAAACAACAGCGACCAUGAUCCGCCUCCGAAGAAGAAGUCUAGAAGGCAUAGAAACAAUGUAGAUGAAGCAGACAGUUGCUUCAGUCAACCUGAUCUCAAGGAUUUAUCCUUUCCCCAGUUGGAAGAAUGGGUGUCCAAUUCUACAGUCAGCCAAAACCUAAUUAAGAACUUGAAAAACAAACUUGCUGAUGGUGAAAUGGAGGCUUUGGAAAAACAGUUGAAGAAUAAGAAAGUAAAAACCCAUUUUUGUUUCUUUGCUAAGGAUGUAAGGAAAAUUGAGGGUAACCGAAAACUAAAGUCAUUUCUUGAUGCUAGUAAAGAUGCAAAAUUUCCGGAUCUUCCAAUAGAGUUAUUUUUUGCAAAGAAAGAGGGUUUACAAGAUAAAUCCUUGCCAGAAAAAGACAGCAAUGAGGAUGACUUUACAAACAGUACUGGUUUAAAUAGUAGUGGCUAUGAAUCAUUAUGCAGCCAAAAUAGCAGUCAGUCUAUUGUCAGCAAGGAUCCUUUGUUAGAAAGUAAAGACCAGACUUUUGACUCUGCUGCUAGUAAUACUCAGCACCAAAUCGAAUCAACUGCCCAAAUUCAUCAGGAAAACAAAGAUGGGAGCCCAUUAGAGAAAGAAAUGGAAGCACAGGUGAAUAUCUGUGAACAACACGCAUCUCCUCAGAAGUCAAACGCUUUUAAAGUAGCAGAAGAUCUUCAAGUUCUCCCCUUUUAUGAGCCUGAUCACGAGGAUGGCACACCAGAGCAGCAGCAGGAGAAUAUAACACAGAUGCAGUGUGACCCAGAAACAGACAGAAAUGAACACGUUUUUAAUUCUGACCAAGUAAUGGAUGAAGUAUCCCAGGAAGAACAUGAAGAUUUAAAUUUUUCUAAUCAAAAGCUUCCUUCUACCCACUACCAAAAUGUAUCACAUGUUCAAAUGCAUCAUGAACACAAAGAGUAUAUACCAUUGGAGGAAGUUAUGGAAGAGCAGGGGACAGUAUGUGAGAAGAUGUGUGAGCCACUGAUCGACAAGUCACACAUAGCAGGUACAAUACCAGCCACCACUCAGAGUGUGGCCACAGAAGAUCGCAUACAAAGUGUGACUUCAGGAGCUUCUGAGGAGAAAUCUGAAUCUUAUUCCAUUACACUGCCUGAAACGACAGUUAUGUCCUUUCAAAAACAAAAUGUUCCUAAGAAAGCAGAAGUUUGCCACCUAGACCAAAAGUUGGACAUGCGGGAGAGUAAGAGUACACCACAUGUGCAGUGUGACCCAGAAACAGCCAGAAAUGAACCCUUUGUAGAGCCUGACUGUGUGGGUAUUUCUGAAGAUAAAAAACAAGGCAUGGAUGAGGUAUCCCAGAAAGAACCAAAGCUUCCUGCUGACCACUUCCAAAAUGGAUCACCUGUCCAAAUUCAGAAUGACAACAAAGAUGGGAUCCCAUUAGCAGAAGGUUUAUUCAGUAUGCCAGUAAGUGAUUCAGGGAAAAUAACAGGAAAAGCCAAAAGACAACCGAGGAACACAAGUAAGCUUAGAAGUGAACAUCGCAGGCUGCUGUAUGAUUGGGCAUUGAAAAAAUGCAGCAUUAAAGAAGAAAUAGAGAAAGUGUUUGACUGCAUUUCGAUCCAAAACCAGGUAGAACACGGAGAGUACCCAUGUUUUGUUGCAGAAAAUAUUAUGAUCUAUACAGACCCAAAAAACGGAGACAAACAAAUCAUUGUUACUGAUGACAAAAAUAAGGAUGUCAAGAACAACCUCCCAAAAGAGAUUACAUUUAUCCCUGAAUAUCAGAUGUGGGUGUGUGGUAUUAAAAAGGCUGUGGUUAUAAGGAACCUGGAAGAAAGGGAAUUAAGAUUUAAAUCUUUUGAUUUAAUCCUGCAGAGCUGUAAAGAACUAGUUUUUGAAGCCUUAGCCCCUGCUCUAGCAGUGUUCAAACACAUCCAACGACAGGAGAGGCUAUACUCUCUCACUAAAGAUCACUAAUAGCUCCCACAAGCUCCCUACAAAACCUGUAGUGACAGAAGAUGAGUGUAGAUCUUUUAACUGUUUAUAAAGGGUUUUGUAAUCUAAAUUAAAACAGCCUAUAAUGGUAUUUCUUUUGGGAAAAUAACUAAAAAAAAAAAAACAUUAUUCUUUAUUAUCUUUUUUUUUUACAAAAUGUUUUGGUUGCUUGUACAUUUCAUUUUAAAGACAUGUUAAUUGUCUUUAUCAGCUUUCAUCAGCCUAAUUUUUAUUACCAUGUGUUAUUACAUGACCUAAUUGUUUUUUCCAUGUGGGCGGCUUUUCUGAAAUGGUUAAUGUGUCACAAAACUAUUGCAGUGGACUGAUGUUUGCAUAAUAUUUCAAUAAUAACUGUUGGCUGAUUCUUUUGCUGUUCCACUGAACUACUGAAAUGCCCCUCCUUCCCUCUGCCAUUAGCCCACCGUGUUUAUGCUAUAUUCGACAGGUUAAUGGCACCAAAACAUUACAUUACAUUUAACAGUUUGGAUUAGGUAGUUUAGAUCUCUUUUAUUGCUUUCAUUUUUUUGAGCGCUGUCCACAGUCCACUAUUGGUCAUCUCUGUUGUGUGUUGUUUGUAAAUGCUUUUAUUAAACCAAUAAAUUACAUUUGCUCUUUGCUUCA
Molecule: long non-coding RNA, 2983 nt
Filed under: Astyanax mexicanus (Mexican tetra)
Lineage: Eukaryota; Metazoa; Chordata; Actinopteri; Characiformes; Acestrorhamphidae
Description: lncRNA (ENSAMXG00005024115.1)
Source: RNAcentral